Molecule: non-coding RNA, 21 nt
Organism: Caenorhabditis elegans
Lineage: Eukaryota; Metazoa; Nematoda; Chromadorea; Rhabditida; Rhabditidae
Source: Ensembl
UGAGAGAACGCAAUUGAUACA